Long non-coding RNA from Ruditapes philippinarum (Manila clam), 1090 nucleotides. RefSeq lists it as uncharacterized. The record is from RefSeq and is a predicted model, not a curated record. Lineage: Eukaryota; Metazoa; Mollusca; Bivalvia; Venerida; Veneridae. The transcript has 7 exons.
AUAUGCUAACGCGCAGUAUUUAUAGUACCCUGUGACGUCAUCACAUUAAUAUUCAAAAUGGCCGACCAGUGGCAAAUUCAGAAAUGUGACCAAAUAUUAAGCAAGAUUACAUGAAAAUAAACGUAUGUCAGCAUUUAAGAAUAGAUAAUAAACAUUUAUAUAUACAAAUGGCAUCUGAAAAUCAUAAUAAUGUGAGAUAAAAGCAGUUACAUAGAAAGUAAUCAUCAAAACAAUGCGAUGGUUCGUACUCAGAAAUAUUCGUACUCAAAGUCGGAAAAUGAAUAAAUAUUAAAGAACAUUGAUAAAAUAGCCUGAGCAUCACAUUACCCCCACCUCUCAGGAAUCGGUCCCCGAUUAAGAAGUGUGGUUACAAGUACAAAAGCAAUUAUGACUGUAGAACCAGUGCAGAUGUCUAUAAAAGAUUAUUUCAGACACACUGAACUGUGCAUGGCACAAAAUCCUGUAGAAUAAUCACAAAAUAUGUAUAUUACCUUUGGGAGGUUGAAAUAUUUCGCCUCGAGUUGUAAUGCAGCCAAACUUCCUCUGUCUGAUGGUAAAAGAUCUCUUGACAGGUUCAUCACUCCUUGUUGACGGUAUUUGCUUGCGGUGUGUUUCUAUGAUAGACCUUGCAACAGAAUCGACACUUCCAUGUCACACCAGAGUGCUGUUCUAGAAUAUGACUGUAACAUCUGCUUCGGGUUGUAAAGGAGAUAUCUCCACAAAUCUUACAUUCAAAGGGUUUCUGAAGAUAGACAAAAUAAGUUUCCUAAGAUUGUCUACAAGAGGAGCUCCUAUCAAUAGGUCAAUUGGCAACCUCAUCUGAGUUCCAAACAUCAUAGAGAAUGGUGUGACACCAGUAGAUUGAUGUACAGCAGUGUGAUGUGCCAUCAUGCAGAAAGGUUGUCAACAGAACAUCAACAGAUAACCUUCCAGUGUAGAGAAAACAGAACAGAAAACUGUCAACAUAAACAACAUCUCAAUCUCAGACAAUUCUUAUCGCAAAUAUUUAACUUUUCUUAAAAUUGUUUAGCCAAUUGUCAGGAAUAUUCAACUUUUCAAAUUGAAAACUUGUUUUUUUUUUCACUUAUGU